UCAUUUCGAUUCUUGUUAAAUACGCACUUCUCUACCAAUCUCUGCACCGUUUAAGCUCCCUGGAGAACAGAUUUGGAAAGAAGUAUCUGUGUAAAAGAUUGUAAUUUGUAAGUUUUAGCUUUGACAACAUGUCAAACAGAGCUUUUAUCAGCUCAGUCAUGGCGAUGGUGUUGAGCAUGAUUGCUGUUAUGGGAGUGACUGCUCAACAUGUUCCAUCCCCUGCGCCUGCCCCUACCAGCGAUGGGAGCACCAUAGAUCAAGGAAUUGCCUACAUUCUGAUGUUGGUGGCCUUGCUUCUCACCUAUUUCCUGCACUGAUGCUACACAAAGACAAGAUAUGCUUUGCCACAUUUUUCGGAUCACAGGAAUUGUUUUGCUAUGGUCUAUGUAAAUUUUUAACGUUCAUGUAAGGGACUGGAUCGCCCCUGCUGUAGAUCAAGAGCUACAAAUAUUUAUAUUCAAUUCUUUAUUCAUUAUC
Molecule: long non-coding RNA, 477 nt
Organism: Cryptomeria japonica (Japanese cedar)
Lineage: Eukaryota; Viridiplantae; Streptophyta; Pinopsida; Cupressales; Cupressaceae
Exons: 2
Source: RefSeq, a predicted model, not a curated record